UACAGAGGGGGCAAGCGUUAUUCGGAAUUACUGGGCGUAAAGGGCUCGUAGGCGGCCAACUAAGUCAUACGUGAAAUCCCUCGGCUUAACCGGGGAACUGCGUCUGAUACUGGAUGGCUUGAGUUCGGGAGAGGGAUGCGGAAUUCCAGGUGUAGCGGUGAAAUGCGUAGAUAUCUGGAGGAACACCGGUGGCGAAGGCGGCAUCCUGGACCGAUACUGACGCUGAGGAGCGAAAGCCAGGGGAGCAAACGGG
This 253-nucleotide ribosomal RNA is filed under the name uncultured bacterium. RNAcentral describes it as "partial 16S ribosomal RNA". It matches the Rfam family "Bacterial small subunit ribosomal RNA", at positions 524 to 776 of the family's 1533-position model. The record is from RNAcentral.